Molecule: small nuclear RNA, 85 nt
Filed under: Cervus elaphus hippelaphus
Lineage: Eukaryota; Metazoa; Chordata; Mammalia; Artiodactyla; Cervidae
Source: RNAcentral
AUCGCUUCUCAGCCUUUCGACGAAGAUCAAGUGGAGCAUCUCUCCACAUAUUGCUAAUUUAAAACCUAAUCCUGCCUCUUUCCAA